CGCUUUCACUCCUACGGGAGGCAGCAGUGGGGAAUAUUGCACAAUGGGGGAAACCCUGAUGCAGCCAUGCCGCGUGUGUGAAGAAGGCCUUCGGGUUGUAAAGCACUUUCAGUAGGGAGGAAGGUAGUGUAGUUAACACCUGCAUUAUUUGACGUUACCUACAGAAGAAGCACCGGCUAACUCCGUGCCAGCAGCCGCGGUAAUACGGAGGGUGCGAGCGUUAAUCGGAAUUACUGGGCGUAAAGCGCUUGCAGGCGGCCUGUUAAGUCAGAUGUGAAAGCCCGGGGCUUAACCUCGGAAUUGCAUUUGAAACUGGCAGGCUAGAGUCUUGUAGAGGGGGUAGAAUUUCAGGUGUAGCGGUGAAAUGCGUAGAGAUCUGAAGGAAUACCAGUGGCGAAGGCGGCCCCCUGGACAAAGACUGACGCUCAGAUGCGAAAGCGUGGGGAGCAAACAGGAUUAGAUACCCUGGUAG
Molecule: ribosomal RNA, 472 nt
Filed under: uncultured bacterium
Lineage: Bacteria
Description: bacterial SSU rRNA
Rfam family: Bacterial small subunit ribosomal RNA
Source: RNAcentral